This 253-nucleotide ribosomal RNA is filed under the name uncultured bacterium. RNAcentral's name for it is "partial 16S ribosomal RNA". It matches the Rfam family "Bacterial small subunit ribosomal RNA", at positions 524 to 776 of the family's 1533-position model. The record is from RNAcentral.
UACGUAGGGUGCGAGCGUUAAUCGGAAUUACUGGGCGUAAAGCGUGCGCAGGCGGUUUGAGAAGUCCGAUGUGAAAGCCCCGGGCUUAACCUGGGAACGGCGUUGGAAACUCUCAAGUUUGAGUGUGGCAGAGGGGGGUGGAAUUCCACGUGUAGCAGUGAAAUGCGUAGAGAUGUGGAGGAACACCGAUGGCGAAGGCAGCCCCCUGGGCUAACACUGACGCUCAGGCACGAAAGCGUGGGGAGCAAACAGG